RNAcentral lists this ribosomal RNA (153 nucleotides) under Setaria digitata. RNAcentral's name for it is "partial 5.8S ribosomal RNA". The stretch from base 67 to 153 matches the Rfam family "5.8S ribosomal RNA", at positions 1 to 88 of the family's 154-position model. From Rfam's summary of the family: 5.8S ribosomal RNA (5.8S rRNA) is a component of the large subunit of the eukaryotic ribosome. The record is from RNAcentral. Lineage: Eukaryota; Metazoa; Nematoda; Chromadorea; Rhabditida; Setariidae.
UAUGAGGAGAAAUGAUUUAAAAAAGUAAAGUGAAAAUAAUCAGUUAAUUUUUGUUUUUGCAUUUUUAACUCUUAGCGGUGGAUCACUUGGCUCGUGGAUCGAUGAAGAACGCAGCUAGCUGCGAUAAAUAGUGCGAAUUGCAGACGCAUUGAG